AUCCAGCCGAUGAGUCCUAAAUAGAACGAAACGCGUGUCCUGGAU
This 45-nucleotide non-coding RNA is filed under the name Schistosoma haematobium. The record is from RNAcentral. Lineage: Eukaryota; Metazoa; Platyhelminthes; Trematoda; Strigeidida; Schistosomatidae.